ACACUCCUACGGGAGGCAGCAGUGAGGAAUAUUGGACAAUGGGUGGAAGCCUGAUCCAGCCAUCCCGCGUGCAGGAAGACGGCCCUAUGGGUUGUAAACUGCUUUUAUCUGGGGAUAAACCUACUUACGUGUAAGUAGCUGAAGGUACCAGAAGAAUAAGCACCGGCUAACUCCGUGCCAGCAGCCGCGGUAAUACGGAGGGUGCAAGCGUUAUCCGGAUUUAUUGGGUUUAAAGGGUCCGUAGGCGGACUGAUAAGUCAGUGGUGAAAUCCGACAGCUUUACUGUCGAACUGCCAUUGAUACUGUUAGUCUUGAGUAAGGUUGAAGUGGCUGGAAUAAGUAGUGUAGCGGUGAAAUGCAUAGAUAUUACUUAGAACACCAAUUGCGAAGGCAGGUCACUAAGUCUUAACUGACGCUGAUGGACGAAAGCGUGGGGAGCGAACAGGAUUAGAAACCCGAGUAGUCCCAUG
RNAcentral lists this ribosomal RNA (470 nucleotides) under uncultured organism. RNAcentral's name for it is "partial 16S ribosomal RNA". It matches the Rfam family "Bacterial small subunit ribosomal RNA", at positions 333 to 799 of the family's 1533-position model. The record is from RNAcentral.